CCUACGGGAGGCAGCAGUGGGGAAUAUUGCACAAUGGGGGAAACCCUGAUGCAGCGACGCCGCGUGAGUGAAGAAGUAUUUCGGUAUGUAAAGCUCUAUCAGCAGGGAAGAAAAUGACGGUACCUGAUUAAGAAGCCCCGGCUAACUACUUGCCAGCAGCCGCGGUAAGACGUAGGGGGCAAGCGUUAUCCGGAUUUACUGGGUGUAAAGGGAACGUAGACGGGAGCACAAGUCUGGAGUGAAAUGCCGGGGCUUAACCCCGGAACUGCUGUGGAAACUGUGCAGCUAGAGUGCAGGAGAGGUAAGUGGAAUUCCUAGUGUAGCGGUGAAAUGCGUAGAUAUUAGGAGGAACACCAGUGGCGAAGGCGGCUUACUGGACUGUAACUGACGUUGAGGCUCGAAAGCGUGGGGAGCAAACAGGAUUAGAUACCCUUGUAGUC
Molecule: ribosomal RNA, 440 nt
Filed under: uncultured bacterium
Lineage: Bacteria
Description: partial 16S ribosomal RNA
Rfam family: Bacterial small subunit ribosomal RNA
Source: RNAcentral